This 75-nucleotide transfer RNA is filed under the name Pediculus humanus capitis (human head louse). RNAcentral's name for it is "tRNA-His". The record is from RNAcentral. Lineage: Eukaryota; Metazoa; Arthropoda; Insecta; Psocodea; Pediculidae.
GGAGGAAGUAGUUUAUUUAAAACGUUACUUUGUGGAAGUAAAGAUAGAAAUAACAUUAUUUAGUCUCUUUUUUCU